This 440-nucleotide ribosomal RNA is filed under the name uncultured bacterium. Its description in RNAcentral is "partial 16S ribosomal RNA". It matches the Rfam family "Bacterial small subunit ribosomal RNA", at positions 338 to 795 of the family's 1533-position model. The record is from RNAcentral.
CCUACGGGAGGCUGCAGUAGGGAAUAUUGCUCAAUGGGGGAAACCCUGAAGCAGCAACGCCGCGUGGAGGAUGAAGGUUUUAGGAUUGUAAACUCCUUUUGUUAGAGAAGAUUAUGACGGUAUCUAAAGAAUAAGCACCGGAUAACUCCGUGCCAGCAGCCGCGGUAAUACGGAGGGUGCCAGCGUUACUCGGAAUAACGGGGCUUAAAGACUGCGUAGGCGGGGUAAUCAGUCAGAUGUGAAAGCCUGUAGCUUAACUACAGAACUGCAUUUGAAACUGGCACUCUGGAGUGUGGGAGAGGUAGGUGGAAUGCUUGGUGGAGGGGUAAAAUGCGUAGAGAUCAAGAGGAAUACUCAUUGCGAAGGCGACCUGCUGGAACAUUACUGACGCUGAUGCACGAAAGCGUGGGGAGCAAACAGGAUUAGAUACCCGGGUAGUC